Molecule: ribosomal RNA, 253 nt
Filed under: uncultured bacterium
Lineage: Bacteria
Description: partial 16S ribosomal RNA
Rfam family: Bacterial small subunit ribosomal RNA
Source: RNAcentral
UACAGAGGUCUCGAGCGUUGUUCGGAUUCAUUGGGCGUAAAGGGUGCGUAGGCGGGCUGCCAAGUUUGGGGUGAAAUCCUCCGGCUCAACCGGGGAAGUGCCUCGAAUACUGGCGGUCUGGAGGGAGGUAGGGGCGUGCGGAACUAACGGUGGAGCGGUGAAAUGCGUUGAUAUCGGUAGGAACUCCGGUGGCGAAGGCGGCACGCUAGACCUCUUCUGACGCUGAGGCACGAAAGCCAGGGGAGCGAACGGG